Poecilia reticulata (guppy) is the source of this 963-nucleotide long non-coding RNA. RefSeq lists it as uncharacterized. Lineage: Eukaryota; Metazoa; Chordata; Actinopteri; Cyprinodontiformes; Poeciliidae. The record is from RefSeq and is a predicted model, not a curated record.
UUUUCUUUGUGGUAUUUACAGCUUCCAAUGAUCUCCCGGUCUUAGUCUGUGCAGGUAAAAAAAAAAAACAAAGAGGAAGAACAACAGAUGGUUUCAGAGAAAACUUGUCAGCAAGCAUGAAGGAGAGCAGCAAGCGCUGCACACAGAGCUUCUCCCUGCUCUUGUCAGUCUCAGGAGUUGAUGGAUGCAACAAAAGGAGGCGGGGAGGUGGCAGACCAGAGGCACAAGCCUCAGGUGCGAACAGGUCACUGAGUCUUUCACUCCAUGUCCCUGCACUGCUGGAUAUUACUCCUUCUAUUACCUUUCAAAACCCCAAUCAUCACACAUUCUGUGGCAAUACGAAACUGCGAGACGCUGUCAAAAAUGGAAGCUAUAUAAAGAAUGUCAAUUUCCUCCAAUUGGCUCAGAAGAUAGUGGCUUUUAUUUUAUUUUUUGGUUAAUUUCUAAUUUAAGAUCAAAAGAGCUAAAAGUGUGUCAAAGACAUUUGUUGAGGUGUGCACAGAAAAAAAAAUGCACAGAAUUAUUCAUAUUUUAACCAACCUACUAUCCCACAAUGCCAAUUCAUUUCUUAUUCUCAGUUGCCACUGAUAUUCCUUUUAACAUCAAGUGAGCCGACAAUAAGUCAAAGGAAGCCAAGAGUUUCCAUUAGUCGUCUGUCACUAAUUACCACUGACUCCGGGGUUGAUUAAAAGAAAUCACCAAGCAGCAGCACACACCAUUAUGCUAAUGAAAACUCAUUUGGCGAGGCAAAGAGGGGGCGCAGCCAAGUAUUUGGAUGACUUUACAGUGCAGCCAGGCUGGCUGGAGUAAAUGGCUUCUUGGACAGCAUGUCAUUACAAUACUAUGUAUAAAAGAAACCAUGUGAUAAUGACAACGACGACGAGGAUGAUGAUGUGGAUGAUGACAGAAUUUUAAUCGAGUGUAUCUUUCCAACUCUCAUGGGCUUAUUAAAUAGUGACUUUU